UACAGCUUGUUCCAAAGGAUACACAUCUUAUUUGGGACAAAGAUGCCAGCCCUGUCCGAGAAACACAUUCGGUGAAAGAUGUCGAGAUGAAUGCACUUGCUCAGGCUUUGAAAUGUAUGCAAUAUGUUCACCUUUUUAAACACAUACGAUAUGGACUAACAAAGCAAAGAAAGCAUACAAUAUGACAAUCCCUUUUUGGUGCCCAGUUUAGUUGUCUACCUCACAUUGAAUUGAUCAAUCUAAUGAAAAUACAUGUAUCAAGAUACAAACAGUCAUUUAAAUACUUAAAAUCUCUAAGUGUAAAGUAAAAAGUAAAAACAAAUGUUAUAAUUGCCUGAGAUCAACAUUUUAUUAUUUUGUAGUUGUGACCAUGUUGAAGGCUGUGUUGAUUUGUCGUCGACAACUGGUACCUCAGUGCCAGCAACCACUUUUAAAGAUGACAGAACAUAUAUAUCGACCGUAAGCGAAAAAACAGAUUCGAAAAAUGAAUUGGUGUCGAGAGAAAUAAUUGCAUAUUAUAUAGUACCACUGUCGUUCGUGAUUCCCGGGAUAUUUUUGUGCUUCUUUUUCUACAAAUUCAAGAUAGUGGAUAAAAUGAAGAAAGCAGCAAUGACCCGAUCUAAAAACCCUUCGCUACAUCUACCACAACACAGUAAAGAUAUCGAAAUGGAGGAAAGUUUAUAUGACAUUAUGGAUGAUACAGAUAUGCUGGGAUAUGUAAGGCGAAUGCUCAAGUCGACUGAUGUAUAAGCAGAUCAAAUAGCACUCGGAGAGUUGAAAGCACAUUUGUACAGAAUCAUGAUUAUUCAUGCCAGUCACUCUUCACCACGGAGACGACAAAAACAAACUAAAACUAGAAUUAAGUAUCUUUAAAAGUUGCCAAACAAUACAACAAUGUUUAAAUUAGGAAGUGAUUAAAAUGUCACCAUCGAAAAUAAGA
Mytilus californianus (California mussel) is the source of this 940-nucleotide long non-coding RNA. RefSeq lists it as uncharacterized. The record is from RefSeq and is a predicted model, not a curated record. The transcript is spliced from 3 exons. Lineage: Eukaryota; Metazoa; Mollusca; Bivalvia; Mytilida; Mytilidae.